This 415-nucleotide long non-coding RNA is filed under the name Felis catus (domestic cat). Its description in RNAcentral is "lncRNA (ENSFCAG00000046503.2)". The record is from RNAcentral. Lineage: Eukaryota; Metazoa; Chordata; Mammalia; Carnivora; Felidae.
CUUUACUUUGUCUCACCUACUCUUAUUUUAUCCUGGGUUAUAAUGAGGUCCAAUUGUCUUCCCGAAAGGUUAUUUGUUUAAGAGAGAUACUCUAACUCAAUUAUCUGGGAAUAAAAGGAACAAAAGAAAGCCAUUAUGCAAAUGUCAGCAAAUCUGGAGUUUCCAAACCAAUUUAUAAUUAAUAUCAAGCUUCUCCUCGUAUGCCAUUAAUAUUAUAACCUCUGAAAGGAGAGAUGAUCAUUCAUUGGCCUAAAAGGAUGUUUUAAGAAAUCUUGCCUGUGGUUCUCAAAAGUUGACAUCAGGAGACUAUAGUACACGGUCUUUGUUGUCCUUGAAUACAGAAAAAAACAAAGAUCCAGUUCAAAAGUAUCUCUCCCAGAAGUCUGAUUUCCCUAAUGAAUGAUCUUCCCUGGCU